RNAcentral lists this ribosomal RNA (1403 nucleotides) under uncultured bacterium. Its description in RNAcentral is "16S ribosomal RNA". It matches the Rfam family "Bacterial small subunit ribosomal RNA". The record is from RNAcentral.
AGAGUUUGAUCCUGGCUCAGGAUGAACGCUAGCGACAGGCUUAACACAUGCAAGUCGAGGGGCAGCGGGGGCGAAGCUUGCUUCGCCUGCCGGCGACCGGCGCACGGGUGAGUUACACGUAUGCGACCUGCCCCCCGCAGGGGGAUAACCGGGAGAAAUCCCGACUAAUACCGCGUAACGCCGCGGGGCUGCAUGGCCCCGCGGCCAAAGGAAGCGAUUCCGGCGGGGGAUGGGCAUGCGGCGCAUUAGCUAGUCGGCGGGGUAACGGCCCACCGAGGCGACGAUGCGUAGGGGUUCUGAGAGGAAGGUACCCCACACUGGUACUGAGACACGGACCAGACUCCUACGGGAGGCAGCAGUGAGGAAUAUUGGUCAAUGGGCGGGAGCCUGAACCAGCCAAGUCGCGUGAGGGAAGACGGUCCUACGGAUUGUAAACCUCUUUUGCCGGGGAGCAACGGGGUCCUUGCGAGGGCCCUAUGAGAGUACCCGGAGAAAAAGCAUCGGCUAACUCCGUGCCAGCAGCCGCGGUAAUACGGAGGAUGCGAGCGUUAUCCGGAUUUAUUGGGUUUAAAGGGUGCGUAGGCGGGCUGUUAAGUCAGCGGUCAAAUGUCGGGGCUCAACCCCGGCCUGCCGUUGAAACUGGCGGCCUCGAGUGGGCGAGAAGUAUGCGGAAUGCGUGGUGUAGCGGUGAAAUGCAUAGAUAUCACGCAGAACUCCGAUUGCGAAGGCAGCAUACCGGCGCCCUACUGACGCUGAGGCACGAAAGCGUGGGUAUCGAACAAGAUUAGAUACCCUGGUAGUCCACGCAGUAAAGGACGUAACUGGCUGUCCGGUUCUACGGGAAUGGGUGGCACAGCGAAAGAGUUAAGCAUUCCACCUGGGGAGUACGCCGGCAACGGUGAAACUCAAAGGAAUUGACGGGGGCCCGCACAAGCGGAGGAACAUGUGGUUUAAUUCGAUGAUACGCGAGGAACCUUACCCGGGCUCAAACGCCAAAGGACAGCCGCUGAAAGGCGGCCUCCCUCCGGGGUCUUUGGCGAGGUGCUGCAUGGUUGUCGUCAGCUCGUGCCGUGAGGUGUCGGCUUAAGUGCCAUAACGAGCGCAACCCCCAUCGACAGUUGCUAACGGGUAGAGCCGAGGACUCUGUCGAGACUGCCGGCGCAAGCUGCGAGGAAGGCGGGGAUGACGUCAAAUCAGCACGGCCCUUACGUCCGGGGCGACACACGCGUUACAAUGGCCGGUACAGCGGGAUGCCAGGGCGCGAGCCCGAGCGGAACCCGAAAACCGGUCUCAGUUCGGAUUGGAGUCUGCAACCCGACUCCAUGAAGCUGGAUUCGCUAGUAAUCGCGCAUCAGCCACGGCGCGGUGAAUACGAACCCGGGCCUUGCACACACCGCCCGUCA